UACGUAGGGACCAAGCGUUGUUCGGAUUUACUGGGCGUAAAGGGCGCGUAGGCGGCGUGACAAGUCACUUGUGAAAUCUCCGGGCUUAACUCGGAACGGCCAAGUGAAACUGUCAUGCUAGAGUGCAGAAGGGGCAAUCGGAAUUCUUGGUGUAGCGGUGAAAUGCGUAGAUAUCAAGAGGAACACCUGAGGUGAGGACGGGUUGCUGGGCUGACACUGACGCUGAGGCGCGAAAGCCAGGGGAGCAAACGGG
Molecule: ribosomal RNA, 253 nt
Filed under: uncultured bacterium
Lineage: Bacteria
Description: partial 16S ribosomal RNA
Rfam family: Bacterial small subunit ribosomal RNA
Source: RNAcentral